GACGAAGGAUGCAAGCGUUAUCCGGAUUCAUUGGGCGUAAAGGGUGCGUAGGCGGCGCGGUAAGUCGGGUGUGAAAUCUCGGGGCUUAACUCCGAAACUGCAUUCGAUACUGCCGUGCUUGAGGACUGGAGAGGAGACUGGAAUUUACGGUGUAGCAGUGAAAUGCGUAGAUAUCGUAAGGAAGACCAGUGGCGAAGGCGGGUCUCUGGACAGUUCCUGACACUGAGACACGAAGGCCAGGGGAGCAAACGGG
RNAcentral lists this ribosomal RNA (253 nucleotides) under uncultured prokaryote. Its description in RNAcentral is "partial 16S ribosomal RNA". It matches the Rfam family "Bacterial small subunit ribosomal RNA", at positions 524 to 776 of the family's 1533-position model. The record is from RNAcentral.